CAGUAGCCGCGGUAAUACGAAGGGUGCAAGCGUUACUCGGAAUUACUGGGCGUAAAGCGUGCGUAGGUGGUGGUUUAAGUCCGUUGUGAAAGCCCUGGGCUCAACCUGGGAAUUGCAGUGGAUACUGGGUCACUAGAGUGUGGUAGAGGAUAGUGGAAUUUCCGGUGUAGCAGUGAAAUGCGUAGAGAUCGGAAGGAACAUCUGUGGCGAAGGCGACUAUCUGGGCCAACACUGACACUGAGGCACGAAAGCGUGGGGAGCAAACAGGAUUAGAUACCCGGUAGUCCCUGUCUCUUAUACA
This 301-nucleotide ribosomal RNA is filed under the name uncultured bacterium. RNAcentral's name for it is "partial 16S ribosomal RNA". It matches the Rfam family "Bacterial small subunit ribosomal RNA", at positions 509 to 808 of the family's 1533-position model. The record is from RNAcentral.